Molecule: transfer RNA, 71 nt
Filed under: Phycisphaeraceae bacterium
Lineage: Bacteria; Pseudomonadati; Planctomycetota; Phycisphaerae; Phycisphaerales; Phycisphaeraceae
Description: tRNA-Gln
Rfam family: tRNA
About the family: Transfer RNA (tRNA) molecules are approximately 80 nucleotides in length. Their secondary structure includes four short double-helical elements and three loops (D, anti-codon, and T loops).
Source: RNAcentral
UGGCCCGUGGUGUAACGGUAGCACAGGGGUUUUUGGUACCUCUAGUCCAGGUUCGAAUCCUGGCGGGCCAG